UCCCCAGACUCCUACGGGAGGCAGCAGUAGGGAAUCUUUCACAAUGGGCGAAAGCCUGAUGGAGCAACGCCGCGUGCAGGAUGAAGGCCUUCGGGUUGUAAACUGCUUUUAUAAGCGAGAAAUAUGAUGGUAACUUAUGAAUAAGGAUCGGCUAACUACGUGCCAGCAGCCGCGGUAAUACGUAGGUGGCAAGCGUUAUCCGGAUUUACUGGGUGUAAAGGGCGUGUAGGCGGGGACGCAAGUCAGAUGUGAAAACCAUGGGCUCAACCUGUGGCCUGCAUUUGAAACUGUGUUUCUUGAGUACUGGAGAGGCAGACGGAAUUCCUAGUGUAGCGGUGAAAUGCGUAGAUAUUAGGAGGAACACCAGUGGCGAAGGCGGCUUGCUGGACAGAGACUGACGUUGAGGCUCGAAAGCGUGGGGAGCAAACAGGAUUAGAUACCCUAGUAU
RNAcentral lists this ribosomal RNA (448 nucleotides) under uncultured bacterium. Its description in RNAcentral is "bacterial SSU rRNA". It matches the Rfam family "Bacterial small subunit ribosomal RNA", at positions 328 to 793 of the family's 1533-position model. The record is from RNAcentral.